Molecule: ribosomal RNA, 544 nt
Filed under: uncultured bacterium
Lineage: Bacteria
Description: partial 16S ribosomal RNA
Rfam family: Bacterial small subunit ribosomal RNA
Source: RNAcentral
UGGGGAAUUUUGGACAAUGGGCGAAAGCCUGAUCCAGCAAUGCCGCGUGUGUGAAGAAGGCCUUCGGGUUGUAAAGCACUUUUGUCCGGAAAGAAAUCCUUGGCUCUAAUACAGUCGGGGGGAUGACGGUACCGGAAGAAUAAGCACCGGCUAACUACGUGCCAGCAGCCGCGGUAAUACGUAGGGUGCAAGCGUUAAUCGGAAUUACUGGGCGUAAAGCGUGCGCAGGCGGUUUGCUAAGACCGAUGUGAAAUCCCCGGGCUCAACCUGGGAACUGCAUUGGUGACUGGCAGGCUAGAGUAUGGCAGAGGGGGGUAGAAUUCCACGUGUAGCAGUGAAAUGCGUAGAGAUGUGGAGGAAUACCGAUGGCGAAGGCAGCCCCCUGGGGCCAAAUACUGACGCUCAUGCACGAAAGCGUGGGGAGCAAACAGGAUUAGAUACCCUGGUAGUCCACGCCCUAAACGAUGUCAACUAGUUGUUGGGGAUUCAUUUCCUUAGUAACGUAGCUAACGCGUGAAGUUGACCGCCUGGGGGAGUACGGUCG